This 141-nucleotide microRNA precursor is filed under the name Gossypium hirsutum (cotton). RNAcentral describes it as "MIR7504 microRNA precursor family". It matches the Rfam family "MIR7504 microRNA precursor family". Lineage: Eukaryota; Viridiplantae; Streptophyta; Magnoliopsida; Malvales; Malvaceae. The record is from Rfam by way of RNAcentral.
AAUAGUUUUAUGCCACAUCAAUAUUCUUAUCUUGAAUUUCAGGAUUUUAUCCUAAAAAAAUCAAAUCCAAAUUAAAAUCCUGAAAUUCAGGAUAAAAUCCUAAAAUUCAGGAUAAGAAUACUGAUGUGGCAUAAAACUAUU